RNAcentral lists this ribosomal RNA (482 nucleotides) under uncultured bacterium. RNAcentral describes it as "partial 16S ribosomal RNA". It matches the Rfam family "Bacterial small subunit ribosomal RNA", at positions 28 to 507 of the family's 1533-position model. The record is from RNAcentral.
GACGAACGCUGGCGGCGUGCUUAACACAUGCAAGUCGAACGAUGAAGAAGAGAAACGCGAACUUCGGUUCAAAUUUCACUUCGGAUUAGUGGCAGACGGGUGAGUAACGCGUGAGCAACCUACCUCUUACAAAGGGAUAGCCUCGGGAAACCGUGAUUAAUACCAUAUGACACAUUCAUAAGGCAUCUUAAGAAUGUUAAAGCUACGGCGGUAAGAGAUGGGCUCGCGUCCCAUUAGCUAGUUGGUGAGGUAACGGCCCACCAAGGCGACGAUGGGUAACCGGCCUGAGAGGGUGAACGGUCACAGUGGAACUGAGACACGGUCCAAACUCCUACGGGGGGCAGCAGUGGGGAAUAUUGCACAAUGGAGGGAACUCUGAUGCAGCGACGCCGCGUGAGCGAUGAAGGAAUUCGUUUCGUAAAGCUCUGUUCUAUGGGAAGAAAAGGACUGUACCAUAGGAGAAAGCCCCGGCUAAAUACGUG